RNAcentral lists this long non-coding RNA (1842 nucleotides) under Paramuricea clavata. Lineage: Eukaryota; Metazoa; Cnidaria; Anthozoa; Malacalcyonacea; Plexauridae. The record is from RNAcentral.
CAUGUGGUAAGACGCAUUGUUUACAGAAGGCUGACAGAGGUUUACAGACCGUAACCAAACAGCAAACAACAUCUGGCCGACCACGUGGAAUUCAGAGGGCCUAUUUACUCGAAAAUCUGGCGAGAAUGGAUCUCCGUCAAAAUUGAUCCAAAUUUUCGGAUUAAAUCGGCCCAAAGUCCAAAUGUAUUGUAUUCCAUUCAACAAUGGGACAGUUCUGACCGGUCUCGCCGUGUUGAUGGAAAGCGCUCCUUGAUUUCGCUGAAGACCUUGCUGUUCUAUUAUCCACUCGUAGCCACCUCAAAACAAAGAUGGACAGAUUCUCUAGCUUUGCGACUGGUCUACACAUUAACAAGAAAAAGACAGAAGUGAUGUGUAUCAUUACCAUCGCGAUGGUGAGUCUAGAGAGAAUGUAGCCGAGGACUUUACAUGCCGUGGGAGUCUUAUUAGCAGUGACAACGUGGCGCUCCAAAAUACAUCAAGGCCCAUCUCAGCAAAACCAAAGGUGCGCAUGUACAGUUGACUUCUGGAAGUCAAAACAGUACAGUAUCAAAACAAAGAUCAGAUUGCAUAACAGCAAUGUGAAGUUGGUGCUAUUGUAUGUUUCUGAGUGUUAUAGAGAGUGAUACAGAGGGACAUGGACAAAACUGACAAUGCCUUCCACAAUCGUUGUUUUCAAAGAAGAUAUAUGCAACAUCUACUGCAUGGCCACAAUAGUUAUCCAGUGAGGACCUGCAUAGGAACACUGGCUGUAAAAACCUGUUCCUAGAGUUAAAAUGAGAAGAAUUAGAUGGCCUGGUCUCAUACUAAGGACGCCCAAUGAAAGGAUCUCGAAAGUGGUCCUAAGAUGGAUAACAGCAGGCAAGAAAAAGAGGGGCAGGUCAAAAAUAUUAUGGCGCAGAACAGUGGAGGUUGAGUUGAAAGAAAUGGGCCUCUCGUGUUGCCUUCUCUCCUGGCCCAGAGCCGCGAGAAAUGGAAGAAGCUUGUUGCAUCCAAGUGGAUAAGUGGUAAGUAAUAAUUUCGAGGUAAAGAACCGUUCUUCAUUCGCACGUAUAUCAGAGUUCGUACAUACGAGGAAGAGUCAAAUUCAAGAACUUUUUAAGGACAUUCAAGGCCAUAUAUAUCAGCAAAUUCAAGGACUAAUUACUGACGAAAAGGGGUUAGAAAUCAGCAAAAUCUGACGUUGAAUUCGGUUCAAAACGGAACUUUAAUGAAUUUCAAACAGCUUUGUGAGAAAUGAACAUCAGUAAAAUCGUACAAAAUAAAAAAGUCCGUUUUGAAUGUCAAACAAUUUCAGAAAAUAUCAAAAACCUAAAGCAAAAAAAAUCUAAGGAAGUUGGCAAGAAAUAUUCAGUUUUCAAUGAAUCAUUAUGCAUGCACGGAAAAGUUACGCGUUUUCCGGCCAUGUACGCGUUUUCCAUGACCAUGUGCGCGUUUUCCAUGUACGCGUUUUCCAUGUACGCGUUUUCCAUGUACGCGUGUACGUGUACGCGUUUUCCAUGUACGCGUUUUCCAUGACCACGUACGCGUUUCCAUGUACGCGUUUUUCAUGUACGCGUGUACGUGUACGCGUUUUCUAGACAACACUCAAUAUUACAGUUACAACACGCUUAUCCAAACAUGCUUAUAAUCAUAAUAAAAAAAACUAUGACUAAUCGAAAACAACCGUUUCUAAGUUCAUAAAUAAAAUAAUAAUUUCUAAAAUGAUUCUAAAAUUUUGUGAUGCUCUUUCAAGCUGUGAUGAAAAUUUUGUCUAGACUUGUUGAGUUCAAGAUUUUGAUUAAUAUGGGAUUGGUUCAUUAUCCACAACUUCGUGUUUUUGACCAUUUCUGCUCACUUCUUCAG